Molecule: ribosomal RNA, 301 nt
Filed under: uncultured bacterium
Lineage: Bacteria
Description: partial 16S ribosomal RNA
Rfam family: Bacterial small subunit ribosomal RNA
Source: RNAcentral
CAGCAGCCACGGGAAUACAGAGGGUGCGAGCGUUAAUCGGAUUUACUGGGCGUAAAGCGUGCGUAGGCGGCUAAUUGAGUCGGAUGUGAAAUCCCCGAGCUUAACUUGGGAAUUGCAUUCGAUACUGGUUAGCUAGAGUGUGGGAGAGGAUGGUAGAAUUCCAGGUGUAGCGGUGAAAUGCGUAGAGAUCUGGAGGAAUACCGAUGGCGAAGGCAGCCAUCUGGCCUAACACUGACGCUGAGGUACGAAAGCAUGGGGAGCAAACAGGAUUAGAUACCCCAGUAGUCCCUGUCUCUCACAU